RNAcentral lists this long non-coding RNA (349 nucleotides) under Pan troglodytes (chimpanzee). Its description in RNAcentral is "long non-coding RNA NONPTRT002836". Lineage: Eukaryota; Metazoa; Chordata; Mammalia; Primates; Hominidae. The record is from RNAcentral.
GGAAGCGGGAGUAGGUCCCUGCGUGGCUAACGGAGAAAAGAAGCCGUGGCCGCGGGAGGAGGCGAGAGGAGUCGGGAUCUGCGCUGCUGCCACCGCUGCGGUUGAUACUACUUUGACCUUCCGAGUGCAGCGACAGUGAUGUGUGUUCUGAAAUUGUGAACCAUGAGUCUAGUACUUAAUGAUCUGCUUAUCUGCUGCCGUCAACUAGAACAUGAUAGAGCUACAGAACGAAAGAAAGAAGUUGAGAAAUUUAAGCGCCUGAUUCGAGAUCCUGAAACAAUUAAACAUCUAGAUCGGCAUUCAGAUUCCAAACAAGGAAAAUAUUUGAAUUGGGAUGCUGUUUUUAGGU